Molecule: RNA transcript, 3975 nt
Organism: Trachemys scripta elegans
Lineage: Eukaryota; Metazoa; Chordata; Testudines; Emydidae
Gene: NOC3L
Gene name: NOC3 like DNA replication regulator
Exons: 23
Source: RefSeq, a predicted model, not a curated record
CCCGCCCCGCGCUUCCGGGCCUGCGCAGCGGUCUGCGGCCACGUGUGUCCGGGCCCCCUAGAGCCGCCGCAAUGAAGCCGAGAAAAAAUAAAAAACGAGUCCCAAGCUUUCGCAAGUUGCUGAAAACUAGUAAAGUAAAACUUGACAACAAGUUAAAGAAUAAACAGUUUAAGCAGCAGAGCAUUGCUAAGAAAUAUCGAAAAGAGCAAAGAAAACUUAGGCAAGCUGUCAAAGAUGUUACAUCCAGAACAUCUGUUCCAUUGGAGGAAUUCAAGAAAAAACAUGCAGCUGAAAGAAAGGAGGAAGAGGAGGAAGAGGAAGCUCUUCCACUGGAUAUGAUGGAUGAAGAUGACCUGAAAUUAAUGGAAGAUUUAGCUCAAAAAGCAUCAUUUGUAACAAGAGACCUUUCUUCUAGUGAACCUGUUCAUGCUAAGAAACGAAAACAGGAAAGCGUGAUUGACAGAUAUGAGAAAAUGCCAAGGUGCAUGCAGACUGAGCCAGAAAAAGAACUUAUUCACCUGCUUCCUAUCAAAGAUAAAAGUGGCAUUAUUCCACAAACAAUGGAAAAGCCAGUCAUCAAUGUUGCACAGAAUGAAGAGGAGGAAGAUACAGAAGAAAUGGAGGUGGUAGAAGAAUCUAGUGAAGAACCCCAGCCGGUGCUCACUACAGAUGAACUGCUAAUUCAAAGGAGAAGGAAGCUGCAGGAGAAGAAGAUACACAUUGCAGCCUUAGCAGCUGCCAUUCUGUCUGACCCAGAAAACAGCAUAAAGAAGCUGAAAGAGUUGCGUGCCAUGCUAAUGGAACAAGACCCCAAUGUGGCUGUGAUUGUUCGGAAGCUGGUGAUGGUAUCUCUGAUGGAACUAUUCAAAGAUAUUACUCCUUCUUACAAAAUUCGGCCUCUGACUGAAGCAGAAAAACAUACCAAGGUUAGAAAAGAAACUCAGAAACUAAGGGAGUUUGAAGAAGGCCUUGUGAGCCAGUACAAGUUUUACCUGGAAAAUCUGGAACAAACAGUUAAAGACUGGAAGCAGAGGAAGCUGAAGAAAAGUAACGUGAUCUCGUUAAAAGCAUAUAAAGGUCUGGCAGAGAUUGCAGUCAAGUGUCUGUGUGAGCUUCUUGUGGUGCUGCCUCACUUCAAUUUCCACAAUAACAUCAUUGUCCUGAUUGUACCUCUCAUGAAUGACACAUCAAAAUUGAUUUCUGAAAUGUGUUGUGAAGCUGUAAAGAAGCUCUUUAAACAAGACAAACUGGGCUCUGUUUCUCUGGGUGUCGUUAAGGUGAUUUCUGGCCUUGUAAAGAGCAGAAAUUAUGAUGUUAGACCUGAGGUGCUAAAGAUAUUCCUUCAUCUACGAAUUAAAGAAGUAGAAGUAAAAAAAGACACAGAAGACAUUACUGCAAAGAAAAAGUUCAUGUCCUGUAAGGAGAAAAGGAAAAAUCUUUCAAGGAUGCAAAGAAAGUGGAAGAAAGCAGAAGAGAAGCUGGAACGAGAACUCCUGGAAGCAGAAGCCUCAGAGAGUAAAGAAAAAAAACUGAAACUGCACACAGAGACUCUGAAUAUUGUAUUUUUAACUUACUUCAGAAUACUGAAGAAAGUACAGAAAUCCCCUCUUUUGCCUGCGGUACUGGAAGGUCUUGCAAAGUUUGCUCAUCUCAUAAAUGUAGAAUUUUUUGAUGACCUGUUGGUUGUUCUACAUUCUCUCAUUGCAUCUGGGGAUCUAAGCUAUCGGGAGAGCCUUCACUGCGUUCUCACUGCUUUUCAUAUUCUGUCUGGCCAAGGUGAUGUUCUUAACAUUGACCCUUCGAAGUUCUACAGUCACCUUUACAGGACACUAUUUAGGCUACAUGCAGGUGCUACGAAUGAUGACAUGGUGAUAGUGCUUCAGUGCCUGGAUGUAAUGCUUACCAAACGUAGGAAACAGGUUUCCCAGCAACGAGCCCUGGCUUUCAUAAAGCGACUUUCCACACUUGCUCUCCAUGUCCUUCCAAAUUCCAGUAUUGGGAUCUUGGCAACCAACAGAAUAUUGAUGCAAACAUUCCCAAAAACAGACCUCCUGCUAGACAAUGAGGCUCAAGGUAGUGGACUUUAUCUCCCAGAACUGGAUGAGCCAGAGUGUUGCAAUGCUCAGAACACAGCUCUGUGGGAAUUACAUGCACUACGGAGACACUAUCAUCCAACAGUGCAGAAAUUUGCAGAUCACCUUAUUGCUGGAGCUCCAGCUGAAGGUUCAGAAGCUCUCAGACCAGAUCUGAGCCGAAGGUCUGGCACAGAACUUUUUGAGACAUAUAAUAUGAAAGGAAUGACUUUUAAUCCUCCUGUAGCAUCUGUUACGCCUAGAAAAAAGGAUAAAUUUUUACAAGGGGAUUCAUUUCUAAAUGAAGAUUUAAAGGAAUUGAUUCAGACACAUCUCAAUGAUGCUGCUGUUCACCGACCCUUGGAUUUUGCUAAACACUUAAAGGAAUCAUCCCUAUCAUAAGUCCACAGAUCAGAUCUGUAUGAUGGCCUUCAGCCUGAACUGCCAGGGAGGCAGACCCACAGCUGUCCAUCUAUCAAACCCAUUAAUAUAGAUCUGUGGACUUGUAUUCUUGAAGAAAGGAAACCUAUUUUGCAGAUGUGAAGAUAUUUGGGAAGAAAGGAAUCUCUCUUUCAAAUGCUGGCAAGCGUCUUUCCAAACAUUAGAAACUGUAACAUCCCACUCAGCAUUACUAGAUCUGUAUCUGUCACCAAGAAGCACAGUCUGGAAUAGGCCAAGCUAGUGCUGAAUAGUUUAGGCCUCAGCAGUUUCCUUCAUGGAGAAUGCAGAAAGAUAUCUUAAAUCAGGAAUCCGUGAUGUUGGUUCCAGUUAUCAAGUAAAUGCAAGGCUAUGUGGAGAAAGAUUGUCAUAUUUCUUCUAUCUCCCUGUGUUUUUGUCAGCCUCAGAAGAGCUUUUUGCCUUUGCCAUUUUAAGGCCUUUAAAGUCACCUGGAAAGGGGAAGAGAUGAUGAUAGCAUUUAAAUUCAAAUACAAGAGUAUAGAUGGGUGCCUGCAUACCAUGAAAUACAUUUUUAAGGAAUUUUGUAACAAAAUAUUAUUGGCAGCCUUAUUACUUGAAUUCUGAUGAAGUGACACAGUAGAUAUAAAUAGUAUCUUGAUCAUUGAGAAUGAGUGGAAAGGAAAUACAGAAAUGUAUCACUGCUCCAUGUGAUAUGGGAUUAUUAAGAAUUGUUUGGGCAAGAUUUUCUUCCAUGUUAAGUAGCUGGGACCUUUCAGAAAACAUCUUUUGGAGUUAGUGUAGGCCCAGUGCUAAUAGUAAUGUGUCUGGACCUAUCAUCUGUCAUAUACAUAAAUGGUACACUGUCACCUUGGAUUCUGCAUUUGGUUUUGUCACUUUAGCUCAAGCAAGCUAGAAGAAAUUUAAAAGAUUGAGAAAGGGACAAAAUAAAAUUCUUAGACACUCUGCCACAAGUAUUUCUAUACAGAGAUUUAAAAAGAGUUUAUGUAUGGAGAGAGGAGUAAGAGAUCAUAUUUUUUAAACUGAUUAUAAAUUAAUGUUUAGUAAAGUUCAGCUGUCCCAUAACACAAAAUGACGGCAUCUCUUAAUUAAGAGCCUGUGUGGAAGUACCAGUUAGCACACUGCAUUACCGGUGGAACUCACUGUCACAGUGUAUGUUGAAGCCAAGUUACAUUCUAAGAGUCUUUUAAAAGGACUGGCCAUUGUCAGGUUACCUGCUGUGAUGGACCCUAGGACGAUGCAGGCAUAGUAGGCAAAGUAAAACUCCUAUGUUCCUAGCAAUUUUCACAGUAUUUAGAUUUGCAUUUAUCUUUAGGCUUUCAUUGGACUGCCUGUGUAUAGGUUUGUGCCAGUACAGAGUUAUAACCUAAAAGCGUAGAGCAUUUUCAUGAACUAUUCUGGCUGCUUGUUGUACUUCACUAUGGUUUACCAAGCACACUUUUGAAAAAAAAAAAAUGAUAAAUUGUACCUUGAAAAAUCAAGAGAG